UAAAGUGUACUUUCAGUUGAUCAGAUUUUCAUCAAAGCUGUUCUUUUUGCUUAAAUAAAUAUACUGUGACAUUAACUAAAAAUGAAUCCUUUUCACAGGCCAGACAAGAAACAUCUGUGUAACAAAGCCAGCGUUGUUAAGAAGAAUGGAAAAGCCCCCACUGCAGCUGGUAUUCCCCCACCGAUACCCAUGUCGCCCAUUGUUGAAAAGAUGGAGGGUUUGAAGACCAUCCGUAACCGCGGCAACAGCCUCCGUCUUGGUCGCCUGGCCCUCUACAAGCACCUUGAAAAAGUGGAGACUAUGCGAUCUUUCUGGGAGCUCAAACAUGUGGAGCUGGAAGGAGAAAACCAGGUCCCGUGGUGGGAGGUAGAGAGCAUGCCGGCUGCAGAGUGAAUGGAUGGCUGAGUGGGUGGUUGACUUGACGGCAAAGAACCCUGUCCUUUCCCAAGUCUGUAGAGAGGAAAAGACUGGUCAUUCAUUGCUCUGUAAACCAAGCGUCACCAUUAUAUGUAUAUAUAUAUAUUUAAAACCUAGAAUCUUCUGUUCUACUGUCUGCCAUCAAAGAUCAUCCUACUGAAGGUAGCAAAGAGCUUAGACGGACAUCCAGAGCAGAGAGACAGGAAGAGGAAGCCUUCCAUCAUGGAGAACUUCCUGAAGGAUAAAGACCUCUGGAUAUUAGGAAGUGUCUGCUUGGUGGCCACCUUUCUGUGGCGACGGCUGUGGAAAUUAUUCUCCGUAAAGAAGGAGAAAAAGACCUCAUCCCAUGCAGACGCACAGGUAAUGUGGCAGAGAUGAGCUUGUGUGGACGAUUUACCUGCAUGGAAUUGGGCAAACCUUGCCAGAGUUGAUUCAUAAGAGUAAAAGUAUGAUAUAAUUUAUUUGGUGGAUUGGGAUAGAGAUGAGGAGGGAUUAGGUCGGAUUAAUUUGGGAUUAAAAAAAAUGCGUAUCAUGCUAACUGAUUCCCAAGAGGCUUUUAGAUAAGUCUUUAUAUGGGUUUGAUAGAUGAAUAAUCAAAUGUUAUUGGUUAUUACUGGUAGAAAAAAAAAAGUUUAUGACAAUAAUCCCUUAUCAAUUUGAUUCCAGAAUCUCUGAGUAAAUGAUGUUUGAAUCUGAAUCCAAUUACUUAAGAAAUGUUAAACUUUUAUAACUUUUCUUUAAAUCUAGGAAGGUGUGUAAGGAAAUUAAAUCUUGAAAAAAAUGUAAAUUUUUAACAGUUUUAAGUACAGAUAUAGGGCACUUCUAUUGAAUGC
This 1250-nucleotide long non-coding RNA is filed under the name Oryzias javanicus (javanese ricefish). RNAcentral's name for it is "lncRNA (ENSOJAG00000007443.1)". The record is from RNAcentral. Lineage: Eukaryota; Metazoa; Chordata; Actinopteri; Beloniformes; Adrianichthyidae.